GGGUUGCGGACAGUGUCUGGUGGGUAGUUUGACUGGGGCGGUCUCCUCCUAAAGAGUAACGGAGGAGCACGAAGGUUGGCUAAUCCUGGUCGGACAUCAGGAGGUUAGUGCAAUGGCAUAAGCCAGCUUGACUGCGAGCGUGACGGCGCGAGCAGGUGCGAAAGCAGGUCAUAGUGAUCCGGUGGUUCUGAAUGGAAGGGCCAUCGCUCAACGGAUAAAAGGUACUCCGGGGAUAACAGGCUGAUACCGCCCAAGAGUUCAUAUCGACGGCGGUGUUUGGCACCUCGAUGUCGGCUCAUCACAUCCUGGGGCUGAAGUAGGUCCCAAGGGUAUGGCUGUUCGCCAUUUAAAGUGGUACGCGAGCUGGGUUUAGAACGUCGUGAGACAGUUCGGUCCCUAUCUGCCGUGGGCGCUGGAGAACUGAGGGGGGCUGCUCCUAGUACGAGAGGACCGGAGUGGACGCAUCACUGGUGUUCGGGUUGUCAUGCCAAUGGCACU
RNAcentral lists this ribosomal RNA (498 nucleotides) under Salmonella enterica subsp. enterica serovar Anatum. RNAcentral's name for it is "partial 23S ribosomal RNA". It matches the Rfam family "Bacterial large subunit ribosomal RNA", at positions 2242 to 2739 of the family's 2925-position model. RNAcentral also lists the same sequence under 1 other name. Lineage: Bacteria; Pseudomonadati; Pseudomonadota; Gammaproteobacteria; Enterobacterales; Enterobacteriaceae. The record is from RNAcentral.